GAUAAGGUUCGAUUGAAUCGGGAACGGAAUAAAGAGCAGAUCUGCAAAACAAAAUACCCGAUUCUGCUGGUGCAUCUAUCCAUGUGCAGGUUGAAGUAACCGUAAAAGGUUAUGGAGGACCGAACUUAUAUCCGUUGAAAAGGGUUAGGAUGACGUGUGGAUAGCGGUGAAAUUCCAAUCGAACUCGGAGAUAGCUGGUUCUCCUCGAAAUAGCUUUAGGGCUAGCCUCGAGCUGGAGUCUAACGGAGGUAAAGCACUGAACUGACGCGGGGCCCAAAAAGGUUACCAACUCAUAUCAAACUAAGAAUGCCGUCAAGAUACCCUCGGGAGUCAGUCUGCGUGAGAUAAGUCGCGUGGACAAAAGGGAAAGAGCCCAGACCGACAGCUAAGGUCCCAAAGUACGUGUUAAGUGGAAAAGGAUGUGGGAUUUCAUAGACAACUAGGAUGUUGGCUUAGAAGCAGCCAUACAUUUAAAGAGUGCGUAAUAGCUCACUAGUCGAGAAAACCUGCGCCGAAAAUGUAACGGGGCUAAAACACGACACCGAAGCUACGGAUUCCUUACUAAGUAAGGAGUGGUAGAGGAGCAUCCUGCAAGGACGAAGCCAAAGUGAGAGCGAUGGUGGACGAAACAGGAGAGAGAAUGCCGGAAUGAGUAGCGAGAUACAUGUGAGAAACAUGUAGGCCGAAUAUCUAAGGAUUCCUGGGUAAAGCUAAUCUUCCCAGGGUUAGUCGGGGCCUAAGGCGAGGACGAGAGUCGUAGUCGAUGGAUAACAGGUUGAUAUUCCUGUACUACACAUAAUCAGAACUGUGGGGACGCAGGAGGAUAGGGAAACCGGGGAAUGGAAAGACCCGGUCAAGCGCAAAGCUGUGGGAGAUAGGCAAAUCCGUCUCCUGUAAGUGAAGCGUGAUGAGGACUGAAAAAAAGUAAGGAAGUUUCCGAAUCCACACUGCCGAGAAAAGCCGCUAUUGCGUUAUGUGUACCCGUACCGUAAACCGACACAGGUAGAUGAGGAGAAAAUCCACAGGCCGACGGGAGAAGUGUUGUUAAGGAACUCGGCAAAAUGACCCCGUAACUUCGGGAUAAGGGGAGCCUCGCAAGAGGCCGCAGAAAAGAGGCACAAGCAACUGUUUAGCAAAAACAUAGGUCUAUGCGAAACCGUAAGGUGAAGUAUAUGGGCUGACGCCUGCCCGGUGCUGGAAGGUUAAAAGGAGAGGUCAGCGCAAGCGAAGCUUUGAAUUCAAGCCCCAGUAAACGGCGGCCGUAACUAUAACGGUCCUAAGGUAGCGAAAUUCCUUGUCAGGUAAGUUCUGACCCGCACGAAAGGCGUAAUGAUUUGUGCACUGUCUCGACAACACGCCCGGUGAAAUUGAAGAACCAGUGAAGAUACUGGUUACCCGCAACAGGACGGAAAGACCCCAUGGAGCUUUACUGCAGCCUGAUACUGGGAUUCGAUGAUAUAUGUACAGGAUAGGUGGGAGGCUAAGAAGCGAGAACGCUAGUUUUCGUGGAGCCGCCGGUGGGAUACCACUCUUAUGUCAUUGGAUUUCUAACCUGCAUCCGUAAUCCGGAUGAGGGACAAUGUCAGGCGGGCAGUUUGACUGGGGCGGUCGCCUCCUAAAAGGUAACGGAGGCGCUCGAAGGUCACCUCAGAAUGAUUGGAAACCAUUCAAAGAGUGUAAAGGCAAAAGGUGGCUUGACUGCGAGAGCGACGGCUCGAGCAGGUACGAAAGUAGGACUUAGUGAUCCGGUGGUAAUAAGUGGGAAUGCCAUCGCUCAACGGAUAAAAGCUACCCUGGGGAUAACAGGCUUAUCUCCCCCAAGAGUUCACAUCGACGGGGAGGUUUGGCACCUCGAUGUCGGCUCAUCGCAUCCUGGAGCGGAAGUACGUUCCAAGGGUUGGGCUGUUCGCCCAUUAAAGCGGUACGCGAGCUGGGUUCAGAACGUCGUGAGACAGUUCGGUCCUUAUCUAUCGCAGGCGUAAGAUAUUUGAAGAGUGCUGUCCUUAGUACGAGAGGACCAGGAUGGACAUACCAAUGGUGUAUCAGUUGUCUCACCAGAGGCACGGCUGAGUAGCUAAGUAUGGAUUGGAUAAACGCUGAAAGCAUCUAAGUGUGAAGCCAACUCUAAGAUAAGAUAUCUCAUAUCGUAAGGUAGUAAGAUUCCAUAAAGACUAUGUGGUUGAUAGGUUGGAGGUGUAAGUGUAGUGAUACAUUGAGCUGACCAAUACUAAUAAAUCGAGGGCUUAACCA
RNAcentral lists this ribosomal RNA (2250 nucleotides) under human gut metagenome. RNAcentral describes it as "bacterial LSU rRNA". It matches the Rfam family "Bacterial large subunit ribosomal RNA", at positions 645 to 2925 of the family's 2925-position model. The record is from RNAcentral.